RNAcentral lists this ribosomal RNA (432 nucleotides) under uncultured bacterium. RNAcentral describes it as "partial 16S ribosomal RNA". It matches the Rfam family "Bacterial small subunit ribosomal RNA", at positions 29 to 506 of the family's 1533-position model. The record is from RNAcentral.
AACGAACGCUGGCGGCAUGCCUAACACAUGCAAGUCGAACGAGACCUUCGGGUCUAGUGGCGCACGGGUGCGUAACGCGUGGGAACCUGCCCUUAGGUUCGGAAUAACUCCCCGAAAGGGGUGCUAAUACCGGAUAAUGUCUUCGGACCAAAGAUUUAUCGCCUUUGGAUGGGCCCGCGUUGGAUUAGCUAGUUGGUAGGGUAAAAGCCUACCAAGGCGACGAUCCAUAGCUGGUCUGAGAGGAUGAUCAGCCACACUGGGACUGAGACACGGCCCAGACCCCCGCGGGAGGGCGGAGUGGGAAAUUUUGGAAAAGGGGCGAAGGCCUGACCCAGCAAUGCCGGGUGAGGGAUGAAGGCCUUAGGUUUGAAAAGCUCUUUUACCCGGGAUGAAAAUGACAGUACCGGGAGAAUAAGCCCCGGCUAACCCCGU